RNAcentral lists this ribosomal RNA (253 nucleotides) under uncultured bacterium. RNAcentral's name for it is "partial 16S ribosomal RNA". It matches the Rfam family "Bacterial small subunit ribosomal RNA", at positions 524 to 776 of the family's 1533-position model. The record is from RNAcentral.
UACGGGGGGGGCAAGCGUUGUUCGGAAUUACUGGGCGUAAAGGGCUGGUAGGCGGCCAACUAAGUCGGAUGUGAAAUCCCCAGGCUUAACCUGGGAACUGCAUCCGAUACUGGUCGGCUUGAAUCCGGGAGAGGGAUGCAGAAUUCCAGGUGUAGCGGUGAAAUGCGUAGAUAUCUGGAGGAAUACCGGUGGCGAAGGCGGCAUCCUGGACCGGUAUUGACGCUGAGGCGCGAAAGCUAGGGGAGCAAACGGG